GACAGAGGGUGCAAACGUUGUUCGGAAUUACUGGGCGUAAAGCGUGUGUAGGUGGCCGCGCAAGUCGGAUGUGAAAGCCCUGGGCUCAACUCAGGAAGUGCACCCGAUACUGCGUGGCUCGAGUACCGGAGAGGUUGGUGGAAUUCUCGGUGUAGAGGUGAAAUUCGUAGAUAUCGAGAGGAACACCGGUGGCGAAGGCGGCCUUCUGGACAGUGACUGACGCUGAGACGCGAAAGCGUGGGGAGCAAACAGG
Molecule: ribosomal RNA, 253 nt
Filed under: uncultured bacterium
Lineage: Bacteria
Description: partial 16S ribosomal RNA
Rfam family: Bacterial small subunit ribosomal RNA
Source: RNAcentral